RNAcentral lists this ribosomal RNA (253 nucleotides) under uncultured bacterium. RNAcentral's name for it is "partial 16S ribosomal RNA". It matches the Rfam family "Bacterial small subunit ribosomal RNA", at positions 524 to 776 of the family's 1533-position model. The record is from RNAcentral.
UACGUAGGGCGCAAGCGUUGUCCGGAUUUAUUGGGCGUAAAGAGCUCGUAGGCGGUCCGUCACGUCGGCUGUGAAAACCCGAGGCUCAACCUCGGGCCUGCAGUCGAUACGGGCAGACUAGAGUGCGGUAGGGGAGACUGGAAUUCCUGGUGUAGCGGUGAAAUGCGCAGAUAUCAGGAGGAACACCGGUGGCGAAGGCGGGUCUCUGGGCCGAUACUGACGCUGAGGAGCGAAAGCGUGGGGAGCGAACAGG